CUAUGCUAAUCAGCCGCUCACAAGUAACCAGCCGACCGAUUAAAGCAGCACCGUCACGUCACAUUCCACUGAACACAGGUCUUAUUUUAACUUGCGCCCUUUCACGUGCGGCGUCCUACGGGGGACUCCGCGACUGCGCUGCCGUGCCGCGCGCGCGCUCAAUGCUACGUGAAGACAACUUGGCGCUGUCAGCCGACUUUCUAUGCUCGAAUUUUCAAAAUUCGAGUCUGCAGGCUUGUAGAACAGUAUAUGCGGAAUGUUCCAGGACACUAUUUCCUGCGAAAUCGAGCGGAGUUGCCGUAGUCACUACGCUCCUGGCGUCGUCUGCUAGUAUUGAGUCCUGGCAGCCAGUUUCGCAUAGAUUUUGCAGCUCUCUAUGCGAGCCCACUGGUCGACGUGGUCGCAACGAGUGUCACUGAAACUACUGGCGCUGCAGUCGCGUCUUUCGUCAUGCGCCGCGUUUCGUCUGCUCCUGCUACGACGUGUUUGCACCAACUGGCCUGUAGGAGCUUAGGCCGUGUCUGCUGUGCCCGGGGCACAGCAGACGAAAGGUGCCUGAAAUGUCUACGUUCACCUAUGACGUCACGUCCGCUAUAACCCAGGAUGUCACAUCCGCUCAUUUCCAUGACGGCCGUCUUACGCAGCCGGUUGCGCUGCGAAACGGUCCGUAUUCCGUGCCCACUUAGAGCACUGAACAUCCCACGUCUUGGUUUGGCUUCCUGGUACAGGAUACUUGCACUUAGCAUGGAGUGAUGAAGCAAAGCAGUGUACUUUUAUUAAAUGUGCAGAUUUUAGCAGUAUAACAGCAGUUCAUUAAAAAAAAACAUGUGUGCUGAAAAUAAAGUGUUCUUACCCACA
Molecule: non-coding RNA, 858 nt
Organism: Dermacentor andersoni
Lineage: Eukaryota; Metazoa; Arthropoda; Arachnida; Ixodida; Ixodidae
Source: RefSeq, a predicted model, not a curated record